CUCAAUCUUAAACAUUAUAUAUAAGCUUUUAUAAAGGAUACAUCACUUCUCAAGAAAAAGAAGGAUUUAUCUUUUACUUGUUGGAUCAAUGGCCGUGAGGCCAUCUUGAUCCUAGCCAUUCAUCGUGGAGAUCCCGGGUUAUCCUCACAUCGGCUUGUUAAUCAAGCUUCUAAUCAGUUUUCUUUUUGUAUUAUGGGUUUUGCUAACGUCCCACGUUCAUGGAGAUGUUAGCAACAUCCCACCUAUUUUUGAUCUAAACUGUUCAUUCAUUCAUACAACUUGGAGCAAUUCAUGGUGCCAAUCACGUGAUCCUAAGCUUCCAAUCAAUAGCAUGAAAAUGGACAGUCAGGAUUAACCGGAGAUGCAAAAUAGAUUGGCCCCAUUCAAAGGGUUAGGAUCAUCUGACGAGUGUGGUUCUUGCAAAAUGGCAUGGUCUAGCUACGUGAAGGAAUCAAUGCUUCAGAUCCACGAUAGGUCACCCAGUGUGCCGUUUAAAAGUUUUGGAGACAUUGCUAACAUCCCCAUGAAGAUGGGACAUUAACAAAACCCUUUUAAUAAUUAGUAUAAACACUAUUUAUUUUCAAAGCCAUGUUUGAAUCAUUAAAAAUAGACAUUAAUAAAUGGACUAACAUUUCUCAAAUCAGAGGGCCAUUUCACCUUUGGAGAGUUGAUGAUCUUAGGAUCAUGGAUAGGAGUUUAGAAAAGGGGAUUAGCAACCCCUUUGCAAGAUACAACAAGAAAAAAAAGAGAAUGAGAAAAUCACAAGAAAUUGCCAAGCAUAUCACCUACAGUCAGGAAGAGCACUCUCCCAAUGCGAUUUCCAAUCUCACGACACCGUCCUCUUCAUCUGGACAAUGUUGGACGCUCCCAAUCUUGCGAUUUUUCAUUAAUCACAUCCAUUCAAUGUUUAAGCAAAUUACUUAAGUUUUAUAUGACUUUUUGACCUUGUUUGGAUUUUUGUAACUUCAUACGAAUGAAUUUUGAGGGCUGUAA
Molecule: long non-coding RNA, 993 nt
Organism: Magnolia sinica
Lineage: Eukaryota; Viridiplantae; Streptophyta; Magnoliopsida; Magnoliales; Magnoliaceae
Exons: 3
Source: RefSeq, a predicted model, not a curated record